Molecule: ribosomal RNA, 379 nt
Filed under: Sphaeroma tessieiri
Lineage: Eukaryota; Metazoa; Arthropoda; Malacostraca; Isopoda; Sphaeromatidae
Description: 16S ribosomal RNA
Rfam family: Bacterial large subunit ribosomal RNA
Source: RNAcentral
UGUGCUAAGGUAGCAUAAUAAUUAGCUUUUUAAUUGGAAGCUCGAAUGAACGACCCGCCGAAAAAUCUCCUGUCUCAGCGCUCCUAUUAACUUACUUACAGAGUAAAAACGCUCUCUUUACUUAAGAGGACGACAAGACCCUAUAAAACUUUACCCUAUUAUCGGCCUACUUAAAAUCUAACGAAAAUCAGGGUUAUACUGGGGCGAUAAUUUUACUAUAAACAAAAAUCAUCUUAACGUAUUUAACGAGAUUAACGAACACUAGUCAGUAAUAAAGAACAAGUUACUUUAGGGAUAACAGCGCAAUAUCUUCUUAGAGCCCUUAUCGACGAAGAUGAUUACGACCUCGAUGUUGAAUUGAAACCCCUGCUUAGAGCAG